GAUAAAAAAUGCAGAUGCACAGGAGUCUUAUGAGAAAGGGGUGAUUGUUCUUGUUACUGGUUGCUUAACUGGGAAGGACAAUGUGAAGAAGAAAUUCUCUCAAACAUUUUUCCUUGCUCCACAAGACAAAGGGUUGAAUGAUGUAUUUAGGUUUGUUGGGGAGAAUGAAUCAUUGCCGAAUGAUUCUUUCUUAAUUAACGGUGUCAAUGAAAAUGCUGUGCCUAUAACCUCGACAACACAAUCAGGUUGGGGUGAUAUUUCAGAAGCAGAUCCCACACAGGAUACUGAUUAUCUUG
Molecule: unclassified non-coding RNA, 296 nt
Filed under: Hevea brasiliensis (rubber tree)
Lineage: Eukaryota; Viridiplantae; Streptophyta; Magnoliopsida; Malpighiales; Euphorbiaceae
Source: RNAcentral